UUCCGGUAGACGAUGGGGAUGCGUUCCAUUAGAUAGUAGGCGGGGUAACGGCCCACCUAGUCAACGAUGGAUAGGGGUUCUGAGAGGAAGGUCCCCCACAUUGGAACUGAGACACGGUCCAAACUCCUACGGGAGGCAGCAGUGAGGAAUAUUGGUCAAUGGGCGAUGGCCUGAACCAGCCAAGUAGCGUGAAGGAUGACUGCCCUAUGGGUUGUAAACUUCUUUUAUAAAGGAAUAAAGUCGGGUAUGCAUACCCGUUUGCAUGUACUUUAUGAAUAAGGAUCGGCUAACUCCGUGCCAGCAGCCGCGGUAAUACCGGAGGAUCCGAGCGUUAUCCGGAUUUAUUGGGUUUAAAGGGAGCGUAGAUGGAUGUUUAAGUCAGUUGUGAAAGUUUGCGGCUCAACCGUAAAAUUGCAGUUGAUACUGGAUGUCUUGAGUGCAGUUGAGGCAGGCGGAAUUCGUGGUGUAGCUGGUGAAAUGCUUAGAUAUCACGAAGAACUCCGAUUGCGAAGGCAGC
RNAcentral lists this ribosomal RNA (517 nucleotides) under uncultured Bacteroidales bacterium. RNAcentral describes it as "bacterial SSU rRNA". It matches the Rfam family "Bacterial small subunit ribosomal RNA", at positions 213 to 725 of the family's 1533-position model. The record is from RNAcentral. Lineage: Bacteria; Pseudomonadati; Bacteroidota; Bacteroidia; Bacteroidales.